GUGUCAGCAGCCGCGGUAAUACAGAGGUGGCAAGCGUUGUUCGGAAUUACUGGGCGUAAAGGGCGCGUAGGCGGCCUUGUAAGUCCUGUGUGAAAUCCCCCGGCUCAACUGGGGAACUGCACAGGAGACUGCUUGGCUUGAGUUCGGGAGAGGGAAGCGGAAUUCCGGGUGUAGCGGUGAAAUGCGUAGAUAUCCGGAGGAACACCGGUGGCGAAGGCGGCUUCCUGGACCGACACUGACGCUGAGGCGCGAAAGCCAGGGGAGCAAACGGGAUUAGAUACCCUAGUAGUCC
Molecule: ribosomal RNA, 292 nt
Filed under: uncultured bacterium
Lineage: Bacteria
Description: partial 16S ribosomal RNA
Rfam family: Bacterial small subunit ribosomal RNA
Source: RNAcentral